Molecule: ribosomal RNA, 450 nt
Filed under: uncultured bacterium
Lineage: Bacteria
Description: partial 16S ribosomal RNA
Rfam family: Bacterial small subunit ribosomal RNA
Source: RNAcentral
GUGGGGAAUCUUCCGCAAUGGACGAAAGUCUGACGGAGCAACGCCGCGUGAGUGAAGAAGGUUUUCGGAUCGUAAAGCUCUUUCGUUAGGGACGAACGUGCUCUUUGUGAAUAAUGAGGAGUAAUGACGGUACCUAAAUAAGAAGCCACGGCUAACUACGUGCCAGCAGCCGCGGUAAUACGUAGGUGGCAAGCGUUGUCCGGAAUUAUUGGGCGUAAAGCGCGCGCAGGCGGGAUAUCAAGUCUGUCUUAAAAGUGCGAGGCUCAACCUCGUGAGGGGAAAGAAACUGGUAUUCUUGAGUGUCGGAGAGGAAAGUGGAAUUCCAAGUGUAGCGGUGAAAUGCGUAGAGAUUUGGAAGAACACCAGUGGCGAAGGCGACUUUCUGGACGAUGUCUGACGCUGAGGCGCGAAAGCUAGGGGAGCGAACGGGAUUAGAUACCCCUGUAGUCC